GACGUAGGGCGCGAGCGUUGUCCGGAUUUAUUGGGCGUAAAGAGCUCGUAGGCGGCUUGUCGCGUCGGCUGUGAAAACCCGCGGCUCAACCCUGGGAUGCCGGUCGAUACUGUCGGGCUAGAGUGCGGAAGAGGCGAGUGGAAUUCCUGGUGUAGCGGUGAAAUGCGCAGAUAUCAGGAGGAACACCUAUUGCGAAGGCAGCUCGCUGGGACGUAACUGACGCUGAGACGCGAAAGCGUGGGGAGCAAACAGG
This 253-nucleotide ribosomal RNA is filed under the name uncultured bacterium. RNAcentral describes it as "partial 16S ribosomal RNA". It matches the Rfam family "Bacterial small subunit ribosomal RNA", at positions 524 to 776 of the family's 1533-position model. The record is from RNAcentral.